This 496-nucleotide ribosomal RNA is filed under the name uncultured bacterium. Its description in RNAcentral is "partial 16S ribosomal RNA". It matches the Rfam family "Bacterial small subunit ribosomal RNA", at positions 29 to 507 of the family's 1533-position model. The record is from RNAcentral.
ACGAACGCUGGCGGCGUGCCUAAUACAUGCAAGUUGAGCGCUGAAGGUUGGUACUUGUACCAACUGGAUGAGCAGCGAACGGGUGAGUAACGCGUGGGGAAUCUGCCUUUGAGCGGGGGACAACAUUUGGAAACGAAUGCUAAUACCGCAUAAAAACUUUAAACACAAGUUUUAAGUUUGAAAGAUGCAAUUGCAUCACUCAAAGAUGAUCCCGCGUUGUAUUAGCUAGUUGGUGAGGUAAAGGCUCACCAAGGCGAUGAUACAUAGCCGACCUGAGAGGGUGAUCGGCCACAUUGAGACUGAGACACGGCCCAAACUCCUACGGGAGGCAGCAGUAGGGAAGCUUCGGCAAGAGACGAAAGUCUGACCGAGCAACGCCGCGUGAGUGAAGAAGGUUAUCGGAUCGUAAAACUCUGUUGGUAGAGAAGAACGUUGGUGAGAGUGGAAAGCUCAUCAAGUGACGGUAACUACCCAGAAAGGGACGGCUAACUACGUG